This 346-nucleotide long non-coding RNA is filed under the name Salvia miltiorrhiza (redroot sage). Its description in RNAcentral is "long non-coding RNA (SMIL_LNC000073)". Lineage: Eukaryota; Viridiplantae; Streptophyta; Magnoliopsida; Lamiales; Lamiaceae. The record is from RNAcentral.
CAAGAAAUUUAUGAACAAUAGACAACGCCGGAUCCUUAAUGUACCCACUAGGCAUACCCGAACUAUCCCAAUUAUCACAGCCAGUCAAUUGAUUCCACACUUGAUUAACAUUUCAUCCCCGAGGUUUAUCAGAUAAUCCAAAAGUAGGGAAACCAAAAACAGCUUUCAUUCUAGCCAAACUAAUUUUAUACUCUCGCUCAUACAUCCUAGCUUUAAUCCAUUUCAUAUCACCACUCAUAACCACAGUAGUCAUGAACUCAUAACAUAGAGGAUCAUACCCAGAAAAUUCAAUAUCUCUAGCAUACUCUUUCAUCCCUAGAUUAUUCAAAUACAAAGCAACUUGCCG